Molecule: ribosomal RNA, 322 nt
Filed under: uncultured bacterium
Lineage: Bacteria
Description: bacterial SSU rRNA
Rfam family: Bacterial small subunit ribosomal RNA
Source: RNAcentral
AUUGAACGCUGGCGGCAUGCCUUACACAUGCAAGUCGAGCGCGAAAGGGGGCGAACCCCGACGUAGAGCGGCGGACGGGUGAGUAACGCAUCGGAACGUGCCCAGUAGUGGGGGACGAACCUCGAGAAAUCGAGGCUAAUACCGCAUACGACCCGCGGGUGAAAGCGGGGGACCGCAAGGCCUCGCGCUAUUGGAGCGGCCGAUGUCCGAUUAGCUAGUUGGCGGGGUAAGAGCCCACCAAGGCGACGAUCGGUAGCUGGUCUGAGAGGACGACCAGCCACACUGGGACUGAGACACGGCCCAGACUCCUACGGGAGGCAGC